This 455-nucleotide long non-coding RNA is filed under the name Capra hircus (goat). RNAcentral describes it as "lncRNA (ENSCHIG00000004548.1)". The record is from RNAcentral. Lineage: Eukaryota; Metazoa; Chordata; Mammalia; Artiodactyla; Bovidae.
GCACAGCUGGCUGCUUUAUAGCUUGCUCCCUGGGAGCAACGGCAGGCCCCGGGCUGUCUGGAGAGCUGGUUGUGUGCAGAGGAUGAGCUGAGAGUGCUUAUUAGUGGCUGGCAUUUGUAAAGCAUCUUACUCAGGUCUCUCAUGGACACCAUUCUCUUUUCUCAAUCUGAGAAAGACAGUGGGGUUAACAGUACUGGGCCAGAAUCAAGGGUGAACGCACACGAUGUCAUGAGAUGAGGGUCUGGCAUGCAGUAAGUGAUUGUAAAUGUGCUUUGGUUUUCCUUUCUGUCUCUGAUUGUUGCAGGGAGACGGUGCUGAGCUUGCUUCUCGAGACCGUGAAGUCUGUGUCUCGUCCUCCCUGCCGCUCGUCUUUCGCCGCAGAAUGUGAUCCAUCCUGGCAGAUUAAUACCCAGCAAGAGUCCUGCUGUCAGUGGGCAUUUGAAUGGUGUGUUUAA